UAGGGAAUAUUGGACAAUGGGGGCAACCCUGAUCCAGCCAUGCCGCGUGAGUGAAGAAGGCCCUCGGGUUGUAAAGCUCUUUUGUCCGGAAAGAAAAGCAUUCGGUGAAUACCCGGAUGUUCUGACGGUACCGGAAGAAUAAGCACCGGCUAACUUCGUGCCAGCAGCCGCGGUAAUACGAAGGAUGCAAGCGUUAUCCGGAAUUAUUGGGUUUAAAGGGUGCGUAGGCGGACUAAUAAGUCAGUGGUGAAAGCCUGCAGCUUAACUGCAGAAUUGCCAUUGAUACUGUUAGUCUUGAGUACAGUUGAGGUAGGCGGAAUGUGUCAUGUAGCGGUGAAAUGCUUAGAUAUGACACAGAACACCGAUUGCGAAGGCAGCUUGCUAAGCUGUAACUGACGCUGAGGCACGAAAGCGUGGGGAGCAAACA
This 427-nucleotide ribosomal RNA is filed under the name uncultured bacterium. RNAcentral's name for it is "bacterial SSU rRNA". It matches the Rfam family "Bacterial small subunit ribosomal RNA", at positions 355 to 774 of the family's 1533-position model. The record is from RNAcentral.